Long non-coding RNA from Cygnus olor (mute swan), 7152 nucleotides. RefSeq lists it as uncharacterized. The record is from RefSeq and is a predicted model, not a curated record. NCBI's taxonomy places the organism in Eukaryota, Metazoa, Chordata, Aves, Anseriformes, Anatidae. The transcript is spliced from 3 exons.
CCGGCUGCCCUCCGCCGCCGCACAGUCGAAGUUGUACAGGUCCAGGUGCAGCAGCGGGGACUGCUCCCCGGGACGGGACGCCUCCCCGGGGGCCGCUGCUGCUGCCGCCCCACCGGGCGCCGGGCACGGCUGCGGAGGGGGCUCCGCUGGUGGCUCCACCAUGGCUGGGCCUGCGAGGGAGAAAGCGGUGGCGGGCAUCCGGGGCUCAGCAGAGGUAGAAAUACCGCUCAGCACAGAGGGCAUCAUCGCUGGUUGUGGAGCUGCAGAGCAUCUGUGCCACACAGUGGAGCAACUGGUUUUGUCAGGCAGAGGACAGCAGUAGCAAAUGCACGUUAGCCACUGUGUUACCGCUUCAGUGUUUUUCAGCAAUCUGUCAUUUAACUGCUAACACACGACUUAAUCUGCUUUGUUUCAAUAAGGAAGGAUGAGGCACUCAUCAAGGGGCUUCCAGGAUGGCCCAGGGCAAGGAUAGAGAGUGACAGAAAGACCCAGGAAAGGGCUAUGGAGUCCUCGUGAGAAAGCUGAGAGCUGCAGGCCAGUGGUGGUUUCAUAUUUUAUGGGUGAAGACUUUGAAUCAAGCUCAUCCCCAGUACCAAUGGACGCACACAGUGAUGAUGCAUCUGCAGUGAGUGGGCAAACUCCAGCAAUGAACCAUAUUGACUUAUCUAAUUUCAUUCAUUCAUCAUCAUCAUAGUCUGUAGGGGACGGUUAUAAAGCUUGGUGAUUAGCUAUGUGAAAAAUCCUCAGGCCAGGCAACAGCUUUCUGCUGUCUGAAGAGCCCAGCCCACUGGCCGAUGGCGCUAACCAUUAAUAGUAGCUGCAGCACGGUAGCUGUCGAGCCAUGGUUGUGUUCCCCCUUUAUGGAAAAUAUUGAGCUGGUAAGUGUGCAUGCCAGGUAAGGUGAGGGUUUCUUAGGGCUUUUGGCAGGUUGCUGUUUCAGCCUGCAGCGGGGCUGCAGUUGGGCCUUGAUCUUUCAGGUUUCCUUGUGGAUCUUCAGGAUUCCCCUAAGUGGUCUCCUAAACACAAUGGGAAGGGAAGUUAUCAGGAGGUUUGAGAAGCAGGCAGAUAUGACUUUAGGAGACUUUAACACACACUGUCUAAACACAGAGUCAUGUCCCCAUCUCAUCAGGAUAAGGGAGACUUGGGAUGGGGCAGGAGGAGACCUCUGGAGGAGCUGUAGAGGAUCACUACAUGACUAAUGAGUCAUUUUCCCCUACACACUUAUAAACCCUAAUUCUCUUUUGUUUGGAAAUGAGAGAAAUCUAUGCAUGCAGGCUGAGCAGUACUGUAAGGUUAGCCUCCUGCUUUAAUAAACAAUUUCCUCCUUUGCAUUGCUGUUAAUGAUAGCAAGAGAUGCAGGGCAGUGGAAAAUCGUGACUACAGAUAGUGGAGGUGGAAAUAUUUAUAUCAUGCUGACAAAUUCUUCUGUAUGCUCUUCAUUGCACACGUAUUAAUUAAUCUUUUCCAGUCCAGCUUUAAAACUGCCUGUACCUGGGUUUUCCCCCAAUCUCCUUGGGAGAGCUAUUUCACAACCUAUGAGAGCUCAUUGGUAAACUGUUAUUAGCUACUUUCUGCUUCCGUUUUUCUUCUUUUUUCAUUUUAUCUUCUCUUGUAAGUAAUUUGCCUUUUUUUUUUUGGCUAAACACCUCUCUCCUGCUUGGGUUUGUGCCUUACAAAUGUUUGUAAACCGUUUCCAUAUCCCCUCAGAGCCAAUGAAAACAUAUCCUCGCUGUGAACCGAUUCCCCGUGGUUGUGCAACCAGCUAUCGCCUUCCUUCUGAGCUCCUGCCAGCGCAUCAGGCCCUCCUGGCCACUGCUGCUAGUGGGCUCCUGUGGAGCAGCUGUGUACGCAGCCCUAGUGCCGACGUGGCACAGGCUGGCUUUCCUCUCCUCCGCAGGCGGCAGGAUGGGUGUUUGCUUCCCUCCUGUUCCACAAACUGCCUGCCCACACGAUGCAGGCAAAGCCUCCCUCCUGCCCUGGGUGGCAGGCACUUUUCUGCAGCCCCCUGCCAGGCGGUUGCAAACCAACUGCCCCAAGCCGAGGAAUCAUCCCGACUGCUCGUAGCCCGGAGGCUCUGCUUCAUGCUGUCAUCUGUGGCUGGCUCUCAGCCACUUUACGUGUCCCUAGGGAAAUGGAGCCUCUGGCUGGACAGAUGCAUGGAACAGGGACACAGAAAAGAGACGGGGCAUGAGGGGGUAGCUGGAGACAGCGACAUAUGGUGGGACACAGUGCGGAGCCACCGCCAGCAGCAAAAUGUUUGGCAGCCACUGGGGACAGACUUGUAUUACAAAUACAAUGUCUUUCCCUGUAAUGUAAAGCUGGAGUCUAAUGCUAGCACGUAAGCUGUGCUGAUGGUGAGUUGUUAAUAGCGUUCAUCUUGUUGGGUAAUGCUACAAUGUGCUGUUUGGUGUCUCAUCUCUGCUCCAGAAAGCAUCUAACUAAGGAUCUUACUGGUGCUUUUUGGGGACGCGCCGAGCAGCUGCCUACCUGGCUUUGUGCAGGUUUGGCACACCUGCAGUCAUCUUUGUAUUUGGGUACAACCUAUGCAGCUACCUGGGCUGCGUGAAAAAAUGUGGUAGGCUGGCAGACAGAAUUUUGAAAAUGAAGGAAAAAUCUUUGUCACUGCAUAUUUCCAUGGAAACAAGUAUAGAUGUGGGAGUAGGUUUUAUUUGCUUUUGGGGAUAUUCCACUGCCAGUGGCUAUUUUUGGAGAAAUUAGAAUACUGGCGUGUUUUGGACCAAACCAAAUUGGAGAUGAUGAUGCUGACCCUCGUGCAUCCAGUUCUCCUGGUCAGGCUCAGCUUGCUAUGGAGAGCUCACAGUCACGAGGGUGUUAUGGUGUGCCUGCACACAGUGAAUCAUGGAGGAUAGAUUUUCCCCAAGGUCAUAGAGCAGACUGAAGAUGCGGCAAACAAAUAGAUGAAUCACUCAGAAAUGAGUGUGAGGAUGUCUAAAGGACUGUGUUAUGCGAGAGGUCAGAGUGCACCACUGGAGUCCCUACAGAAAUUCUGUGGUUUGCUUUUUUCAUUAGACAAAAGGCAAACUUUUCUGCUAUUAAUUUUAAUGUUCACCAAAAUCCAGUUUGGACAGAUCUCAUUGUACCAUGUGCAGAAAUAUCCGUACUGUAGGCAGGGCUGUAGUGUGGCACUUCUUAGUUUUGGGCAGGGAAUGCCUUUGUGGUGGUGGUGUUCAGCACCUAGUGCAAGGGGUUUCUGAUCCCUGAUUGGGGUCCUACCACUAUUGUAACCCCAUUACUGCUAAGAUUAGUGGCAAGCAUUGACCCCAAACUGCCUCUAAUAAGCAUGAGCUAUUGAGUAUAAAAUCAACAGGAAUAAUGCACGUUAACUCCGGUUACAUUUUCAAGCUGAAGCUGAAAUGCAAUUACAUUCCAUUCAUUUAAUUGAAAACUGUUGUUUUUGAGCAAAUGAUCAGUCUUCCACGCUGUUUCAGUUUCUAAGCUGUGCUAUUUAUUCUAGCACAGCCUGGAAAUCACAACGUGAAACUAUUGAAGAACAGUGAAAUAUGACAUUGCUGGUGACAUUCUUCAGGGGGAGCAAAAUGCUAAGUGUAAUCAAGGAGAAUAAACUGUUAGAUUAAGACUGGAGAUUUUAAACUGUUUUACUUUUAAUUAAUCUCAGGUGUUUAUUAGCCCAAUAGUAAAAGAUUCUUUCUCUUCUUCCUGUAUGAUUUCUACCUUGACCAUGGCACGGAUUUUAUCGAUUAGGUAUAUUUCUCUCAUAUCUCCAGGGCAACUGCAAAAAUAUUCCUUCCCUCCUUCUUCCCCUUACAGAAGCCACCACCAAAACAUAAUUUUCCAUGGUACAGUAUUUAAUGUCCCGGUCUAAAUAUGAGCUAAUCAUGCAUUCCUAGAUUAGUCUUGCCUAACGGUGCAUUGCCAAGGAGCUUGGAGGCAGCAGGAGGAGAUUUGCCACUUGCUGCUGCUCUCAUCUGGGAGUAAAGGGCAGCAGAGUCAGGAGUUGGGAGCUGGCCCCUUCCUCACUUGGUUAGGUGUAUAGCCAUGCAUACGGAGUGUACAGGGGUUGCACUCAGCCUGCAUGGAUGUAAAUUACGGCCUGAGGAGAAAGACAAAGAAGUGUUAAGCCUGUGAUGCCUGCCUGCAGAAUUUAGGAGAAAAGAAAGAAAAAUAUCACACUUGCAGGGGCAGAGUGAUCACACAUAGGCAGUCACAUCACACGCCCAGAGAUGCAGUCGCCCAGGGCAAAGCUGCCCCUGCUGAUAAAACACUGGUUAUUGAGAACCGGAGCUACCAAGUCUUCCUUGACUACAGCCAAAAUAGCACUGAGGGGUAAACUCCAUCAGCAGUACUUCUGGUUAAUUACAGACUAAUGUCCUGCCACCCGAGUCCCACGUCACCCAAACCUCCUGGGGAAAGGAAACCAUUCCACCUGAAAAGUGAGAGACUGCAAUAGCACACAGUGCCAAAUACAUUUUUCUUUUCUAUUGGACUGGUACCUGGGAAUAAAGCCAGCUGGAAGACCUCUGGAAGGAAAUCUUCCUAACUCUGACCAUGCUUGCAAUCAGUUUAUAUGCCAGAUUUAGUCUCAGGAAAUAUGAAAAUCAGUGGACGGUUGUUUUAAUAUACAGCUCUGCAGCUUAAAAAGUGCUGAGUUUUUAUCGAAAGAAAAUGAAGGUUUACCGCUUCCUUGAGGUAUAUAGAGUCACUAUAUGUAGCCAAAUGGUGCAAGGUCAUGUGGAAAGAACAGAUGAGAAUCCAAGAAGUUAACAAAUGUCCCAUAACAAAAAUCUACUUUGUAACAGAAAAAUAUUUACAACUAUAUUUCAUUUUGAAGAAGAAUAAAUCAACAGAUGCUGACUUUUUAAUUAUGUUUUUUUGAUAAAAGGAGAACCUGUGAGUAAACUGGGUGCUUUUCACUGGAGAACCUGAAUGCGUAGUUCUCAUUGUAAAGAAAGAAGGGUUUAGGGUGAUGGGUAGUAGACAGGGACAGAUUCAGUCCUUUGCUUUGUCACUUUGCCUAAAUAAAUGCUAUGACUGAAUAUCUUUGGGGAUCUGGGCCUCCCUCUUUCAUCUUUAAGUAGGAAUAAUAGCACCUUCCCUAAGAGGUGCAUAGCCAAAGUGAUAGUGAAGUCGUCUGUUACAUAUAUUAGAUACAUUUGGCAGUGGGAUCUCAAACGGUUGGAAGGUAAUUUAAAUUAAUCACAGGAAUUUACGCUGAAGGGGAUCUUGUCCUUCACCUUCUUUGAAACAGGGUCCUACAGACAAGCAGAAGGGGUUCUAGCACACAGGCAAUGAUAGAACUACAAAAAUUAGCCCCUCUUGCUGGAAAUACCAGUGCUAUUGAAUGAAUAGUAGAGGGGGUAGAAGGGAUAUAUUCCAAGAAGAGUUUCAUAGUAUUGGUAUUUCACCUACAUGUGUAUCUAGGUCAGAUUCUGCAGUUUCUCUGCUUACACCAAGUUUCAGUGGACUCAGUAUUAGUUUUUGUUAUACCAUUUUUUCCUCUAACUCACAAGUUUUUUAGUGCAUUGUGGGGAUGGGAUUCAUGAAAUGGUGCCAAAUGAGCUGGUAAAGGCCCAUGAACACUGUGUGUUAUUCUGGCAUUAGGAAAUCCUGCAAUCAAACUCCGAUGUCGAGAAAAAUUAAAUAAAGUUUGAGAUGGUGGAGGUAGUUAGGAUGAUCAGAGAACCAAUAGGCUAGCCUUAGGAAAGUGUCAUGUUAGUGUCCUAACAGAGAUCUUUGAAAAAAGACCUCUAAAAAUGAAAUCUGAGGCAGGAUGUGGUAGAUCUUUAAAAAUCCACAGGGGAACAGACAACUUGUUCAUGCAGUGCCUUUAAUGCAUCCCGCAUUUUGCCGUGCUAACCCAGAGGCAUGUCACAGCCACCCUCAGAAAUGCAGGCUCUGAAGAAGCUGCUGCCCUGAAAGCUGGCGUGGUUUGGUUGUUGACUUCAAUGCGAACAAGACCUACAGGAAACUCCCUUUUCCUUGCUCUGAACAUUUAGCCCUUAAGUGAAGUGGAAUUAAUACCAUUGUGCUGAGUGGCUUGAAUCUAGCACAACUGGAGCAGAAGUCAAUUUGCUGUAUUUGAAAGAAAAUUAAUUAAGGCCUCGUUUGUUUCCCUCAGAGAAAAAAGCUCUGGGUAGUUUCCAGGAGAGGAUUUUCUUCCAGGCUCCUUCGGUUCAGGCCUCUCCGUACAUGACAAGCGUUGCAUGGCUCCAAGCCCCACGUCCCUAGGGGCUCUGGGGCUGCGAGCUGGGCCUUGCUGCAGCACCCUCCUGGAUGUGAGCUUCUCUGUUUUGCAUCCUUUCUGAACAGCUGGAGUGCCUGCCCUGAGUAUUAAGAAACGAGUGGUGCCCUGCUGAACAUGAAGAGUGUCUGUAGGCUCCAUCAUGGGAUCCAGGCCGCACUUCCCCUUCCCGGGGCUGGGCUGGGGCAUGCCCGCUGGCCCGGGCAUGAGUUCCUGCUUCAAUCGCUGUGACCUGCCCGUGGUGUCGGCUGCCCACAGGCUUCAUGUGCUCAGCUAGUGAAAGUGAAGCGCUUUGGGAAAAGUGCCCUCCUGUGCUCCACGUGGUGCAGCUCAGAGCCCUGGGCGCUCAUCGGCCACCUGGCUGCCUGGCACUGUGCCGCGUCGGCUGGUAUUGAGCCGUGGUGUGAGGGGGCUGCCGGGGGACAUGGGCCUUCCCCAAGGCCAGGGGGAGGUGCUUCCUGUUGAAUUCCUCUGGAGCAUCAGCUGCUGGCUGAAAAAAUGCCUUUACCAUGGUCAGACACCGGAACAGGCAUCCUGGUGUGCCGGCUGAUGCCCCGUGCCCGUCAGUGGCCAAGAGGUGUUUGGACAAUGCCCUCAGUAAUGUGCUUUAACUCCUGGGUAGCCCUGAGGUGAUCAAGCAGCUGGACUCGAUGAUCUUUGAAGGUCCCUUCCAAGUGAACUUCUCUGUUCUAUUCUCAGCGAUCUUCCUUAGUGAAAUUGGCAUUGUCCUUCAAUGCAGCCACUGCUUACACUACUCACCCUACAGCAGUGCCUGUGGAUAUCCAAGCACUCUGCACCUGGCUGUAAUGUAAUGUAAUUUUGAAGGUCCCUUCCAACCAAACUAUUCUGUUGUUAUCCUAUCCUAUCCUAUCCUGUCCUAUCCUAUCCUAUCCUAUCUUAUUUCUACUCUACUCUACUCUUGUAGUCCAUUC